AUGUUGUUUUCAUUGCAAAAUGAUGGGUCUCCUUCCAGAACUUUCCAAUUACGAGUACGAGAAUUGAAAGACAUGAAAAUUCUCAAUUCUCUACGGCGUCUAGGGGAAAGGCGUCUAGUAGAUAGAAACAAGAAAAUCAGAAGAAUCUUUCUCUCUAUUCACUAUCAUUCCGCGUCUUCGACUUCUAUUAGUUUCUUUUCUUCUUUAAUGCAAUAG
This 216-nucleotide ribosomal RNA is filed under the name Triticum aestivum (bread wheat). Its description in RNAcentral is "partial small subunit ribosomal RNA". Lineage: Eukaryota; Viridiplantae; Streptophyta; Magnoliopsida; Poales; Poaceae. The record is from RNAcentral.